GUUUAAUGAUGAAAACCAUGCGUGUCAACUGAACUUGGGGCUCUCUGUAGCUUUCGGUCUCCAGUCAGCGUACUGCUUACUGGUGUACUUGGGGCUGCAGGACUCUAAGGGCAUGAUCUGACUUAGAGCCUGAAAAC
This is a small nucleolar RNA of Alosa sapidissima (American shad), 137 nucleotides long. RefSeq annotates it as small nucleolar RNA SNORD10. The transcript has a single exon. The record is from RefSeq and is a predicted model, not a curated record. NCBI's taxonomy places the organism in Eukaryota, Metazoa, Chordata, Actinopteri, Clupeiformes, Clupeidae.